UGACCUGAUGGUGGACUUGGAGUUGGGUGUUGCCGGUCACACGGCUCGCCUGAAAGACCUUAGUGGGAACAUUGGCCUACGGCAGGACGUGAUAAGUUUCGUCUUGUCUGGCCGGUGAUGUCCGCUCAGAACCUGCUGCCCUUUGAGGCAACGAUCUUAUGCUAGACCUCAAAUCAGGUAGGACUACCCGCUGAACUUAA
RNAcentral lists this unclassified non-coding RNA (200 nucleotides) under soil metagenome. Its description in RNAcentral is "partial contains internal transcribed spacer 2 and large subunit ribosomal RNA". The record is from RNAcentral.